Molecule: long non-coding RNA, 779 nt
Filed under: Mustela putorius furo (domestic ferret)
Lineage: Eukaryota; Metazoa; Chordata; Mammalia; Carnivora; Mustelidae
Description: lncRNA (ENSMPUG00000027596.1)
Source: RNAcentral
CAGGCAAAGGGAACCAGCCUGGAUGGCAUGAGUGCUGUUGAACCACAUCAAACCAAUGAUCUGAUCCUUAACAGCAAACAGCCCCUGGUCUUUUUAAAGGCAGAAAAGAAAAAAAAAAAAAAAAAGUCCUGUAACACGAAGGCAGAAAUGAAGGUGCAUGACUCAAAAUCGCACUAUCUGGAGAUUCAAUGAGCAGAUUCUUUUGUCCACAAAUUCCUCCCCCUUUCAACGAUCAAAAAACGAUGGCUAUGUCAAACAUGAGAGAUGGGACUCUUCGUCUUAAAUGUGAAAAUGGAGAUUGGAGACCCCAGCUCACCAAACACAUUGAGCCCUGGUGGUUUUCAGGUUUCAUGAUUUGGUCAAGCCAGGGAAACAACCGGCUCUGGAUUUUCAAGGAACCAGGAUUUAGAGGCCAGAUGUUCCUAUAGAGAACAGGACUCCUCAGCCUUGCCUUGUCCCAACCCUUGGCCGUGAAGUCUGAAUUCACUGCAUCUCUUUGAACAACAUACUUGGAUUUGGGCCACGCCCUCAAGAGCCAGACUUAAGGUAGGUUCAGUCUUUUGCACAGGCCUCACUUGUCCCAUGGUCUGCUUCCUGAUGGUGGCAAUGCCUUUUCCUUGUUCUCAUGAGCACAGCUGAAACAGGAUGCAGUUUAUAUAUGGGAUUUUCAAUAAAAGCAUACAUGAAAAUCCGUUUAAACUUCAAAAAACAGGGGCAUCUUGGGUGGCUCCGUCAGCUAAGCGUCUGACUCUGGAUCGCAGCUCAGGUCAUGAUCUCGG